CCUACGGGAGGCAGCUUUUGGGGAAUUUUCCGCAAUGGGCGAAAGCCUGACGGAGCAACGCCGCGUGAGGGAUGAGGGCCUCUGGGCUGUAAACCUCUUUUCUCAAGGAAGAAGAUCUGACGGUACUUGAGGAAUAAGCCACGGCUAAUUCCGUGCCAGCAGCCGCGGUAAUACGGGAGUGGCAAGCGUUAUCCGGAAUUAUUGGGCGUAAAGCGUCCGCAGGCGGCCUCGAAAGUCUGUCGUUAAAGCGUGGAGCUUAACUCCAUUUAAGCGGUGGAAACUACGAGGCUAGAGUGUGGUAGGGGCAGAGGGAAUUCCCGGUGUAGCGGUGAAAUGCGUAGAUAUCGGGAAGAACACCAGUGGCGAAGGCGCUCUGCUGGGCCAUAACUGACGCUCAUGGACGAAAGCCAGGGGAGCGAAAGGGAUUAGAUACCCCUGUAGUCCUGGCCGUAAACGAUGAACACUAGGUGUCGGGGGAAUCGACCCCCUCGGUGUCGUAGCUAACGCGUUAAGUGUUCCGCCUGGGGAGUACGCGCGCAAGUGUGAAACUCAAAGGAAUUGACGGGGGCCCGCACAAGCGGUGGAGUAUGUGGUUUAAUUCGAUGCAACGCGAAGAACCUUACCAGGGCUUGACAUCCUGCGAAUCCCUUGGAAACUUGGGAGUGCCUUCGGGAGCGCAGAGACAGGUGGUGCAUGGCUGUCGUCAGCUCGUGUCGUGAGAUGUUGGGUUAAGUCCCGCAACGAGCGCAACCCACGUCUUUUAGUUGCCAGCAUUAAGUUGGGCACUCUAGAGAGACCGCCGGUUGAUAAACCGGGAGGAAGGUGUGGAUGACGUCAAGUCAUCAAUUGCCCCUUACGUCCUGGGCUACACACGUACUACAUUGCUACGGACAAAGGGCCAGUCAACUCGCGAGAGCUAGCAAAUUCCCAUAAACCCGUGGCUCAGUUCAGAUCGGAAGGCUGCAACUCGCCUACGUUGAAAGGAGGAAUCGCUAGUAAAUCGCAGGUUCAGCAUAACUGGCGGUGGAAUACCGUUCCCGGGCCCUUGUACCACACCCGCCCCGUCACACCAUUGGAAGUUGGCCACACGCCCCGGAGUCGUUUACUCUCCAUACCUCGCGAAGGUAGGGAGGGAUGCCCGAAGGGGGGGGCUGGAUGACCUGGUGGGGGUGAAUGUCCGUACCAGGUAUACCGUAACCGGGUAAGGGGGCGCGCUGUGAUACUCUCUCAACGGUAUACCAAAACCGGCUUUUGGAUCUUCGUGGAUCACUACUAACUCUAUAUCUGACCGU
This 1292-nucleotide ribosomal RNA is filed under the name uncultured cyanobacterium. Its description in RNAcentral is "bacterial SSU rRNA". The stretch from base 1 to 1114 matches the Rfam family "Bacterial small subunit ribosomal RNA", at positions 338 to 1533 of the family's 1533-position model. Lineage: Bacteria; Bacillati; Cyanobacteriota. The record is from RNAcentral.